AGUCGAGCGAUGAACACCUUCGGGUGUGAAUUAGCGGCGAACGGGUGAGGAACACGUGAGAAAUCUGCCUUCACACUGGGAUAACUCCGGGAAACCGGGGCUAAUACCGGAUAUGAAAUCUGCGGGCAUCCGCGGAUUUGGAAAGUUUUUCGGUUGAAGAUGAUCUCGCGGCCUAUCAGCUUGUUGGUGAGGUAAUGGCUCACCAAGGCGACGACGGGUAGCCGGCCUGAGAGGGCGACCGGCCACACUGGGACUGAGACACGGCCCAGACUCCUACGGGAGGCAGCAGUGGGGAAUAUUGGGCAAUGGAGGAAACUCUGACCCAGCGACGCCGCGUGCGGGAUGAAGGCCUUCGGGUUGUAAACCGCUUUCAGCAGGGAAGAAGCGAAAGUGACGGUACCUGCAGAAGAAGCACCGGCUAACUAUGUGCCAGCAGCCGCGGUAAUACAUAGGGUGCAAGCGUUGUCCGGAAUUAUUGGGCGUAAAGAGCUCGUAGGUGGUUCGUCACGUCGGAUGUGAAAAUCUGGGGCUUAACCCCAGACCUGCAUUCGAUACGGGCGAGCUUGAGUAUGGUAGGGGAGUCUGGAAUUCCUGGUGUAGCGGUGGAAUGCGCAGAUAUCAGGAGGAACACCAAUGGCGAAGGCAGGACUCUGGGCCAUUACUGACACUGAGGAGCGAAAGCGUGGGGAGCGAACAGGAUUAGAUACCCUGGUAGUCCACGCCGUANACGGUGGGCACUAGUUGUGGGGACCUUCCACGGUCUCUGCGACGCAGCUAACGCAUUAAGUGCCCCGCCUGGGGAGUACGAUCGCAAGAUUAAAACUCAAAGGAAUUGACGGGGCCCCGCACAAGCAGCGGAGCAUGCGGCUUAAUUCGACGCAACGCGAAGAACCUUAC
This 897-nucleotide ribosomal RNA is filed under the name uncultured bacterium. Its description in RNAcentral is "bacterial SSU rRNA". It matches the Rfam family "Bacterial small subunit ribosomal RNA", at positions 60 to 974 of the family's 1533-position model. The record is from RNAcentral.